GACGAACGCUGGCGGCGUGCCUAAUACAUGCAAGUCGAGCGAAUCAAUGGGAGCUUGCUCCCUGAGAUUAGCGGCGGACGGGUGAGUAACACGUGGGUAACCUGCCUGUAAGACUGGGAUAACUUCGGGAAACCGGAGCUAAUACCGGAUACGUUCUUUUUUCGCAUGAGGAGAGAUGGAAAGAUGGUUCUGCUAUCACUUACAGAUGGACCCGCGGCGCAUUAGCUAGUUGGUGAGGUAACGGCUCACCAAGGCGACGAUGCGUAGCCGACCUGUGAGGGUGAUCGGCCACACUGGGACUCAGACACGGCCCAGACUCCUACGGGAGGCAGCAAUAGGGAAUCUUCCGCAAUGGACGAAAGUCUGACGGAGCAACGCCGCGUGAGCGAAGAAGGCCUUCGGGUCGUAAAGCUCUGUUGUUAGGGAAGAACAAGUACGAGAGUAACUGCUCGUACCUUGACGGUACCUAACCAGAAAGCCACGGCUAACUACGUGCCAGCCGCCGCGGUAA
This 511-nucleotide ribosomal RNA is filed under the name uncultured bacterium. RNAcentral's name for it is "partial 16S ribosomal RNA". It matches the Rfam family "Bacterial small subunit ribosomal RNA", at positions 28 to 523 of the family's 1533-position model. The record is from RNAcentral.